Molecule: ribosomal RNA, 465 nt
Filed under: uncultured bacterium
Lineage: Bacteria
Description: partial 16S ribosomal RNA
Rfam family: Bacterial small subunit ribosomal RNA
Source: RNAcentral
CCUACGGGAGGCAGCAGUGGGGAAUAUUGCGCAAUGGGCGAAAGCCUGACGCAGCGACGCCGCGUGAGGGAUGAAGGUCUUCGGAUCGUAAACCUCUGUCAGCAGGGAAGAACGGUCAGUGUGCUAAUCAGCAGUGAACUGACGGUACCUGCAAAGGAAGCACCGGCUAAAUCCGUGCCAGCAGCGGCGGUAAUACGGUGGGUGCGAGCGUUAAUCGGAAUUACUGGGCGUAAAGCGCUCGUAGGCGGUAUGUCAAGUCAAGGGUGAAAUCCCCGGGCUCAACGUGGGAACUGCCUUUGAAACUGGCAAGCUAGAGUGUGUGAGAGGAUAGUGGAAUUCCAGGUGUAGGAGUGAAAUGCGUAGAUAUCUGGAGGAACAUCAGUGGCGAAGGCGACUAUCUGGCACAAAACUGACGCUGAGGAACGAAAGCGUGGGUAGCGAACAGGAUUAGAUACCCGGGUAGUC